Molecule: non-coding RNA, 1192 nt
Organism: Ictidomys tridecemlineatus (thirteen-lined ground squirrel)
Lineage: Eukaryota; Metazoa; Chordata; Mammalia; Rodentia; Sciuridae
Source: RefSeq, a predicted model, not a curated record
UUGACAUAAACUGUCACCCAUGCCCCAUAUUCUAUCCACAUUUCACCUUGGUGCCCAUGUGUGGCCCUUGUUACCCAGUGGUAGCAUUCCAUUAUCCUUCUAUCAGCUCUGUCCACUCUGGGAGCUUGUAUUCAGCUUCUCAUUUUAUAUACAGGCAAGCAUCUUAACAUUAUUCAGUGUUUUCUAGUGACAAGGCCACACAUUCCUUCAUACAAUAUAAUAGAAGGAAGGGGCAAGGUGAAGGACAGAUCCCAGGGCCUGCUUGCCAUCUCUCAUUCUUGUUUCUUUUCCAGGUAUUGGCCACCCUGGAGAAUCAGUGUGCAGACACCUGACAGCCAACUGGAGUGAUCUAUUCCUGAGACUGAUAAAUUUUCUCCGGUGCCAGAGACAGCAGGCUUGUUCAACUCAAGCUGAUAUUGAUCUUUUUCCUGAGGAUCUACAAAUUUCUGACCUGGAACUUCUCAGAGUUUCCACAUUUAAUUCUGUGCCCCAGCUGACUGCAAGCUGUAUUCCACUGCAAAGGGGAGGCUGAUCUGCAUACCUGUCAAGCCACUAACAAAGCAUGGAGUUUCCAAGACCCAGCUCCUGCCUUCUUGCCCCAGUUCCAGCUGCUGCUCAGUUCAGGAGGGAAGCCUAAAGUAAUUCUGUGAAGUUAAUUUCCAAGUAGCUCUAAGUGUCCUUAAAUUGGUGUAUGGAGAAAUCCAUUGCUCACCGUCGUUAGAAAGCACUUGGAUGAAACACACCACAGCUACUUGAAAGGGAUGUGAAGUAACCUGAGUCCUGCACAAUAGGCUUUUACCCUGACCACACUCAACUGCUUCUUGCAACAUGGUUUAUAGAGAAGAACAAUUCAACACACAAAAAAAAUAAAUUAAACAUGCAACCAUUUUGUGAAGUAUUAGCAGUCAACCAUGAUCUGAGAAUAUUAAAUGGAAACUUCUGAAAAAUUCAAGAUGUUUUAAAUUGUCUUCCAUUAUGAGCAACACGAUGAAAUCUCACCCUAUCCUGCUCUGUCUCACCUGGCAUGUGAAUUAUCCUUUUGUUCAGUGUAUCCACCCUGAAUACACUAUAUACCCAAUAGCCAGAUCAACUGAUUUUAUGGUAUCUCCAUGCUUGUAUUCAAGUGACCCUUAUUUUACUUAAUAAUGGCCCCAUAUUUCAAGAGUAAAUAUAAUGGUAAUUUUAUUAGUGU